UCCGUAGGUGAACCUGCGGAAGGAUCAUUAUGAAUUAUUAAUAUUUGUGAAUUUACCACAGCAAACAUCAAUCAUACAAUCAAUAAUUAAAUAAUUAAAACUUUUAACAAUGGAUCUCUUGGUUCUCGCAUCGAUGAAGAACGCAGC
RNAcentral lists this ribosomal RNA (147 nucleotides) under Geotrichum candidum. Its description in RNAcentral is "partial contains small subunit ribosomal RNA, internal transcribed spacer 1, and 5.8S ribosomal RNA". The stretch from base 99 to 147 matches the Rfam family "5.8S ribosomal RNA", at positions 1 to 49 of the family's 154-position model. The record is from RNAcentral. Lineage: Eukaryota; Fungi; Ascomycota; Dipodascomycetes; Dipodascales; Dipodascaceae.